This 253-nucleotide ribosomal RNA is filed under the name uncultured bacterium. RNAcentral describes it as "partial 16S ribosomal RNA". It matches the Rfam family "Bacterial small subunit ribosomal RNA", at positions 524 to 776 of the family's 1533-position model. The record is from RNAcentral.
UACGUAGGUGACAAGCGUUGUCCGGAUUUACUGGGCGUAAAGCGUGCGCAGGCGGUGAUGUAAGACAGGUGUGAAAUCCCCGGGCUUAACCUGGGAACUGCAUUUGUGACUGCAUCGCUGGAGUGCGGCAGAGGGGGAUGGAAUUCCGCGUGUAGCAGUGAAAUGCGUAGAUAUGCGGAGGAACACCGAUGGCGAAGGCAAUCCCCUGGGCCUGCACUGACGCUCAUGCACGAAAGCGUGGGGAGCAAACAGG